This 74-nucleotide transfer RNA is filed under the name Candidatus Parcubacteria bacterium. Its description in RNAcentral is "tRNA-Ala". It matches the Rfam family "tRNA". Rfam says of the family: Transfer RNA (tRNA) molecules are approximately 80 nucleotides in length. Their secondary structure includes four short double-helical elements and three loops (D, anti-codon, and T loops). Lineage: Bacteria; Candidatus Parcubacteria. The record is from RNAcentral.
GGGCCCUUAGCUCAGCUGGUUAGAGCGCCUGCAUGGCAUGCAGGAGGUCAUGAGUUCAAAUCUCAUAGGGUCCA